GAUGAACGCUAGCUACAGGCUUAACACAUGCAAGUCGAGGGGCAUCAGGAAGAAAGCUUGCUUUCUUUGCUGGCGACCGGCGCACGGGUGAGUAACACGUAUCCAACCUGCCCUUUACUCGGGGAUAGCCUUUCGAAAGAAAGAUUAGUACCCGAUGGUAUAAUUAUUCCGCAUGGUUUGAUUAUUAAAGGAUUCCGGUAAAGGAUGGGGAUGCGUUCCAUUAGGUUGUUGGUGAGGUAACGGCUCACCAAGCCUUCGAUGGAUAGGGGUUCUGAGAGGAAGGUCCCCCACAUUGGAACUGAGACACGGUCCAAACUCCUACGGGAGGCAGCAGUGAGGAAUAUUGGUCAAUGGGCGCUAGCCUGAACCAGCCAAGUAGCGUGAAGGAUGAAGGCUCUAUGGGUCGUAAACUUCUUUUAUAUUAGAAUAAAGUGCAGUAUGUAUACUGUUUUGUAUGUAUAAUAUGAAUAAGGAUCGGCUAACUCCGUGCCAGCAGCCGCGGUAAUACGGAGGAUCCGAGCGUUAUCCGGAUUUAUUGGGUUUAAAGGGAGCGUANGUGGACUGGUAAGUCAGUUGUGAAAGUUUGCGGCUCAACCGUAAAAUUGCAGUUGAUACUGUCAGUCUUGAG
Molecule: ribosomal RNA, 628 nt
Filed under: uncultured bacterium
Lineage: Bacteria
Description: bacterial SSU rRNA
Rfam family: Bacterial small subunit ribosomal RNA
Source: RNAcentral